This 624-nucleotide ribosomal RNA is filed under the name uncultured Clostridium sp. RNAcentral describes it as "bacterial SSU rRNA". It matches the Rfam family "Bacterial small subunit ribosomal RNA", at positions 94 to 737 of the family's 1533-position model. The record is from RNAcentral. Lineage: Bacteria; Bacillati; Bacillota; Clostridia; Eubacteriales; Clostridiaceae.
AGUGGCGGACGGGUGAGUAACGCGUGGGUAACCUGCCCUGUACACACGGAUAACAUACCGAAAGGUAUGCUAAUACGGGAUAACAUAAGAAAGUCGCAUGGCUUUCUUAUCAAAGCUUUUACGGUACAGGAUGGACCCGCGUCUGAUUAGCUAGUUGGUAAGGUAACGGCUUACCAAGGCGACGAUCAGUAGCCGACCUGAGAGGGUGAUCGGCCACAUUGGAACUGAGACACGGUCCAAACUCCUACGGGAGGCAGCAGUGGGGAAUAUUGCACAAUGGGCGAAAGCCUGAUGCAGCAACGCCGCGUGAGCGAUGAAGGCCUUCGGGUCGUAAAGCUCUGUCCUCAAGGAAGAUAAUGACGGUACUUGAGGAGGAAGCCCCGGCUAACUACGUGCCAGCAGCCGCGGUAAUACGUAGGGGGCUAGCGUUAUCCGGAAUUACUGGGCGUAAAGGGUGCGUAGGCGGUCUUUCAAGUCAGAAGUGAAAGGCUACGGCUCAACCGUAGUAAGCUUUUGAAACUGUAAGACUUGAGUGCAGGAGAGGAGAGUGGAAUUCCUAGUGUAGCGGUGAAAUGCGUAGAUAUUAGGAGGAACACCAGUUGCGAAGGCGGCUCUCUGGACUGU